UUGACUGUGCUAAGGUAGCAUAAUAGAUUUCUUUUUAAUUGGGAGAUAGGAUGAAAGAGUGAACGAAGAUAUAUUGUACCAUUUUUAAUAUAAUAAAUUUAUAUAGAAGUAAGAAAGCUUUUAUGAUUUAAAAAGACGAUAAGACCCUAUAAAACUUUACUAGUUAGUGGUUAAUUUUGUUUUAAUAAUUUAAAAUUAUAAUUAGUUAAGCUGGGGCGGCUUAUUUUGGUUGGCAAAAUGUUUAAUAACAUAUUUAAUGGGUUUAAAGAUUGUUGGUAAAUAAUUAAGAUUAAGUUACUUUAGGGAUAACAGCAUAAUAUUUUUGAAGAGUUCUUAUCGAUAAAAGUGUUUGUGACCUCG
RNAcentral lists this ribosomal RNA (360 nucleotides) under Turcolana rhodica. RNAcentral's name for it is "partial 16S ribosomal RNA". Lineage: Eukaryota; Metazoa; Arthropoda; Malacostraca; Isopoda; Cirolanidae. The record is from RNAcentral.